GUCUCUUCGGGGAUGAUUAAACCGGCGCACGGGUGAGUAACACGUGAGUGACCUGCCUUUUAGACUGGAACAACUUACCGAAAGGUGAGCUAAUGCCGGAUGAGUUAUAUAAGUGCAUGUUUAUAUAGGAAAAGUUGGGGAGACCUGACGCUGAAAGAUGGACUCGCGUCCCAUUAGCUAGUUGGUAGGGUAAUGGCCUACCAAGGCGACGAUGGGUAGCCGGCCUGAGAGGGUGGCCGGCCACACUGGGACUGAGACACGGCCCAGACCCCUACGGGAGGCAGCAGUGGGGAAUUUUGCGCAAUGCUCGUAAGAGUGACGCAGCGACGCCGCGUGAAUGACGAAGGCCUUCGGGUCGUAAAGUUCUUUCGACAGGGAAGAAAAUGCCUAUAUGUAACUGUGUAUGUAUUGACGGUACCUGUAUAAGCAGCCCCGGCUAACUCCGUGCCAGCAGCCGCGGUAAUACGGAGGGGGCGAGCGUUGUUCGGAGUGACUGGGCGUAAAGAGCACGUAGGCGGUGUUGUAAGUCAUUAGUCAAAGACUAGAGCUCAACUUUAGUAAGGCUAGUGAUACUAUAAUACUAGAGUAUCAGAGAGGAUUGCAGAAUUCCUGGUGUAGCGGUGAAAUGCGUAGAUAUCAGGAGGAAUACCGUUAGCGAAGGCGGCAAUCUGGCUGGAAACUGACGCUGAGGUGCGAAAGCGUGGGUAGCAAACAGGAUUAGAUACCCUGGUAGUCCACGCUGUAAACGAUGAAUGCUAGGUGUUGGGCUUU
Molecule: ribosomal RNA, 771 nt
Filed under: uncultured bacterium
Lineage: Bacteria
Description: bacterial SSU rRNA
Rfam family: Bacterial small subunit ribosomal RNA
Source: RNAcentral